This 253-nucleotide ribosomal RNA is filed under the name uncultured bacterium. RNAcentral describes it as "partial 16S ribosomal RNA". It matches the Rfam family "Bacterial small subunit ribosomal RNA", at positions 524 to 776 of the family's 1533-position model. The record is from RNAcentral.
UACGGAGGGAGCUAGCGUUGUUCGGAAAUACUGGGCGUAAAGCGCACGUAGGCGGCGCAGCAAGUCAGGGGUGAAAUCCCGGGGCUCAACCCUGGAACUGCCUCUGAAACUGCAGUGCUAGAAUCUUGGAGAGGCGAGUGGAAUUCCGAGUGUAGCGGUGAAAUGCGUAGAUAUCUGGAGGAACACCGGUGGCGAAGGCGGCAUCCUGGACCGGCAUUGACGCUGAGGCGCGAAAGCUAGGGGAGCAAACGGG